UGAACGCUGGCGGAAAGCCUCAUACAUGCAAGUCGAACGAAAAAGUAUCUUCGGAUACAAGUAAAAGUGGCGGACGGGUGAGUAAUACAUAGGAAUCUACCCAGUGGAGGGGGAUAGCUCGAGGAAACUCGAAUUAAUACCGCAUAAUCUCUACGGAGUAAAGAGGGCUUCGGCUCUCACCAUUGGAUGAGCCUAUGCAAGAUUAGCUUGUUGGUGAGGUAAUGGCUCACCAAGGCUACGAUCUUUAGCUGGUUUGAGAGGACGACCAGCCACAUCGGGACUGAGACACGGCCCGGACUUCUACGGAAGGCAGCAGUAGGGAAUAUUGGACAAUGAGCGAAAGCUUGAUCCAGCUAUGCCGCGUGUGCGAUGACGGCCUUAGGGUUGUAAAGCACUUUAGGUAACGAGGAAAAGUUAGGUGUUAAUACCACUUAACCAUGACGUUAAUUACAGAAUAAGCACCGGCUAAA
RNAcentral lists this ribosomal RNA (470 nucleotides) under uncultured Gammaproteobacteria bacterium. RNAcentral describes it as "bacterial SSU rRNA". It matches the Rfam family "Bacterial small subunit ribosomal RNA", at positions 30 to 501 of the family's 1533-position model. The record is from RNAcentral. Lineage: Bacteria; Pseudomonadati; Pseudomonadota; Gammaproteobacteria.